UACCGAGGUCUCAACCGUUGUUCGGAUUCAUUGGGCGUAAAGCGUGCGUAGUCGGUUAUCUAAGUCGGAUGUGAAAUCCCCGGGCUCAACCUGGGAAUUGCAUUCGAUACUGGAUAGCUAGAGUUCGGCAGAGGGAAGUGGAAUUUCGGGUGUAGCGGUGAAAUGCGCAGAUAUCAGGAGGAACACCGGUGGCGAAGGCGGGUCUCUGGGCCGUAACUGACGCUGAGGAGCGAAAGCGUGGGGAGCGAACAGG
This 253-nucleotide ribosomal RNA is filed under the name uncultured bacterium. RNAcentral's name for it is "partial 16S ribosomal RNA". It matches the Rfam family "Bacterial small subunit ribosomal RNA", at positions 524 to 776 of the family's 1533-position model. The record is from RNAcentral.